Molecule: ribosomal RNA, 958 nt
Filed under: uncultured bacterium
Lineage: Bacteria
Description: bacterial SSU rRNA
Rfam family: Bacterial small subunit ribosomal RNA
Source: RNAcentral
AAGCGUUAAUCGGAAUUACUGGGCGUAAAGCGCACGCAGGCGGUUUGUUAAGUCAGAUGUGAAAUCCCCGCGCUUAACGUGGGAACUGCAUUUGAAACUGGCAAGCUAGAGUCUUGUAGAGGGGGGUAGAAUUCCAGGUGUAGCGGUGAAAUGCGUAGAGAUCUGGAGGAAUACCGGUGGCGAAGGCGGCCCCCUGGACAAAGACUGACGCUCAGGUGCGAAAGCGUGGGGAGCAAACAGGAUUAGAUACCCUGGUAGUCCACGCUGUAAACGAUGUCGACUUGGAGGUUGUGCCCUUGAGGCGUGGCUUCCGGAGCUAACGCGCUAAGUCGACCGCCUGGGGAGUACGGCCGCAAGGUUAAAACUCAAAUGAAUUGACGGGGGCCCGCACAAGCGGUGGAGCAUGUGGUUUAAUUCGAUGCAACGCGAAGAACCUUACCUACUCUUGACAUCCACGGAAUUCGCCAGAGAUGGCUUAGUGCCUUCGGGAACCGUGAGACAGGUGCUGCAUGGCUGUCGUCAGCUCGUGUUGUGAAAUGUUGGGUUAAGUCCCGCAACGAGCGCAACCCUUAUCCUUUGUUGCCAGCACGUAAUGGUGGGAACUCAAAGGAGACUGCCGGUGAUAAACCGGAGGAAGGUGGGGAUGACGUCGAGUCAUCAUGGCCCUUACGAGUAGGGCUACACACGUGCUACAAUGGCAUAUACAAAGAGAAGCGAACUCGCGAGAGCAAGCGGACCUCAUAAAGUAUGUCGUAGUCCGGAUUGGAGUCUGCAACUCGACUCCAUGAAGUCGGAAUCGCUAGUAAUCGUAGAUCAGAAUGCUACGGUGAAUACGUUCCCGGGCCUUGUACACACCGCCCGUCACACCAUGGGAGUGGGUUGCAAAAGAAGUAGGUAGCUUAACCUUCGGGAGGGCGCUUACCACUUUGUGAUUCAUGACUGGGGUGAAGUCGUAACA